GCGGGUGUAGUUUAGUGGUAGAACGCUUCCUUCCCAAGGAAGAGGUCGUGGGUUCGAUCCCCAUCACCCGCUCCC
RNAcentral lists this transfer RNA (75 nucleotides) under Candidatus Woesebacteria bacterium. Its description in RNAcentral is "tRNA-Gly". It matches the Rfam family "tRNA". From Rfam's summary of the family: Transfer RNA (tRNA) molecules are approximately 80 nucleotides in length. Lineage: Bacteria; Candidatus Woeseibacteriota. The record is from RNAcentral.